RNAcentral lists this ribosomal RNA (497 nucleotides) under uncultured bacterium. Its description in RNAcentral is "partial 16S ribosomal RNA". It matches the Rfam family "Bacterial small subunit ribosomal RNA", at positions 28 to 507 of the family's 1533-position model. The record is from RNAcentral.
GAUGAACGCUGGCGGCGUGCCUAAUACAUGCGAGUCGAGCGAACGGACGAGAAGCUUGCUUUUCUGAUGUUAGCGGCGGACGGGUGAGUAACACGUGGAUAACCUACCUAUAAGACUGGGAUAACUUCGGGAAACCGGAGCUAAUACCGGAUAAUAUUUUGAACCGCAUGGUUCAAAAGUGAAAGACGGUCUUGCUGUCACUUAUAGAUGGAUCCGCGUUGCAUUAGCUAGUUGGUAAGGUAACGGCUUACCAAGGCAACGAUGCAUAGCCGACCUGAGAGGGUGAUCGGCCACACUGGAACUGAGACACGGUCCAGACUCCUACGGGAGGCAGCAGUAGGGAAUCUUCCGCAAUGGGCGAAAGCCUGACGGAGCAACGCCGCGUGAGUGAUGAAGGUCUUCGGAUCGUAAAACUCUGUUAUUAGGGAAGAACAUAUGUGUAAGUAACUGUGCACAUCUUGACGGUACCUAAUCAGAAAGCCACGGCUAACUACGUG